RNAcentral lists this long non-coding RNA (944 nucleotides) under Fukomys damarensis (Damara mole-rat). RNAcentral describes it as "lncRNA (ENSFDAG00000022595.1)". Lineage: Eukaryota; Metazoa; Chordata; Mammalia; Rodentia; Bathyergidae. The record is from RNAcentral.
ACUCAGUAAAUAUUUGUGAAUGAGUGCUAAUAAUAAGAUAUUAUGUAUUUCACUCUGCUCAAGGUUGGCAAUGCUAUGGAAGAGGCUGGAGACAAGAGUCCCUGGCAGUAGCUGGAGAGGAGAGAGAAGCACCGCCCACAUGAUUCUCCAACUUAUGCAACCAUGUGUCACUCAACAAUGGAAAUACGUCCUGAGAAAUGUAUCCUUAGGUUGAGGGGUGAUUUUGAAUAGGAUCCAAGCAAUCAGAUGAAGGAAGAGUUGGAGUGUAUGAUCCAGAGACAAGAAGUAAAAAAUAUGCAAAGAAGAAAAAAUAACACGUGGAAAGGUCCAAGUUACGAAAGAACUCCCAGGAGAUCUGGAGAUCACCUUGGUGUUAGGUCACGACACUACGUAGGAGAAUGCUGCAAGAAAGAAGAGUUGGAGAACAAUACAGGGUUCAGUCAGACACAGGUUUGCAUUCUAGCAUAACACUUCUUAUUUCUUCUACCUAAAGCCGGCCCCUUAACUUUGCUGAGACUCAGUUUUUGUCCAUAAAAAAGACUGAUGACAUCAAUCGUGAUGGUGUAGUUUCCCCCACUUCACAGGUGACACAAAGAAAGUGACACGAAGACAUGCUAGCCUGUGCUUUGAGCUGGACGGGUACUGAGUGCCAGAGCCAGGCUCAUGCCCAGGUCUCCCCAGUGCCCAAGGUCAGUUCCUUUGCAUGAACUCAUUUAGGCUGAGUAACGGGACAGCACAUGAACAAAUGGCUGGGGCAUUAUUUAAAAACCCCACUCACUUUCUCUCCCAUCUAAAUGUCAGCCUCAGUCCCUGCCACUGAAUGUUGCAGCCCCCUGCCCACACCAGCAAGGCUAACUUGGCGGAUCAACGGGGUUUUAAUGUUUUCCUUAAUCUGGCAUCAGUUCAGCAAGAGGCGAAAGAAUCUCUGCCUUUUCCAAUUAGAC